RNAcentral lists this ribosomal RNA (375 nucleotides) under Triticum aestivum (bread wheat). RNAcentral's name for it is "partial small subunit ribosomal RNA". Lineage: Eukaryota; Viridiplantae; Streptophyta; Magnoliopsida; Poales; Poaceae. The record is from RNAcentral.
AUGCGAUCUGUCUCACAUGCGUGCGGUCAGCUACGAGGAAGGGCGAGAGUUCGCCAAGAGGCACGAUCUCAUGUUUACGGAGGCCUCUGCAAAACCACACACAAUGUUGAUGAGGCGUUCAUUCUGACCGCGGAAAGAAUAUACAAGAAAGUCCAAGAUGGUGUCCUUGACUUGCCUGAAAAGGUCAGUCUAAGUGCUUGCCUUGUCCAAUAUGCAGGCAAGGCAAAAGACUGGCUAUCCAUUGGUUGGCAACCAACUUACUUUGCCAAUCUCUUGAAACCUGGCAAUCUUUGGCAAGCUUUGGAGUCGUCAAAUCUCGGCAUGCCAAUAUGCUGGAUAGCCAAUUUUUGGCGCAAAAUGGGUCGAUGGAAGUAG